CAGCAGCCACGGUAAUACGUAGGUCCCGAGCGUUGUCCGGAUUUAUUGGGCGUAAAGCGAGCGCAGGCGGUUAGAUAAGUCUGAAGUUAAAGGCUGUGGCUUAACCAUAGUACGCUUUGGAAACUGUUUAACUUGAGUGCAGAAGGGGAGAGUGGAAUUCCAUGUGUAGCGGUGAAAUGCGUAGAUAUAUGGAGGAACACCGGUGGCGAAAGCGGCUCUCUGGUCUGUAACUGACGCUGAGGCUCGAAAGCGUGGGGAGCAAACAGGAUUAGAUACCCCUGUAGUCCCUGUCUCUUAUACA
Molecule: ribosomal RNA, 301 nt
Filed under: uncultured bacterium
Lineage: Bacteria
Description: partial 16S ribosomal RNA
Rfam family: Bacterial small subunit ribosomal RNA
Source: RNAcentral